RNAcentral lists this ribosomal RNA (301 nucleotides) under uncultured bacterium. Its description in RNAcentral is "partial 16S ribosomal RNA". It matches the Rfam family "Bacterial small subunit ribosomal RNA", at positions 509 to 807 of the family's 1533-position model. The record is from RNAcentral.
CAGCCGCCACGGGAAUACGAAGGGUGCAAGCGUUACUCGGAAUUACUGGGCGUAAAGCGUGCGUAGGUGGUGGUUUAAGUCCGUUGUGAAAGCCCUGGGCUCAACCUGGGAAUUGCAGUUGAUACUGGGUCACUAGAGUGUGGUAGAGGAUAGUGGAAUUUCCGGUGUAGCAGUGAAAUGCGUAGAGAUCGGAAGGAACAUCUGUGGCGAAGGCGACUAUCUGGGCCAACACUGACACUGAGGCACGAAAGCGUGGGGAGCAAACAGGAUUAGAUACCCCAGUAGUCCCUGUCUCUUAUAC